AUUGCUAGCAUAUAGAAAUGCAAUGAAAAGUUUUUUAUAUUGAUCAUAUGUGGCUUUUCCUAACUAAAUGUGAUUCCUAACUUUUGAUUCUUUUGUAUUUUCCAUAUACAAGAUCACACAUCUGCAAAUUUUUUCCCUUUCACUCUGGAUACUUUUUUUCUUUUCUAAGUGCCCUGGCUAGCACCUCUAGCACAAUAUUGAAUAUAAGUGGCAAGAACAGACAUCUUUAUCUUAGUACUACUUUAUAAGGAAGGCAUUUAAUUUUUCACCAUUGAGUGUCAUGCUAACAGUAAGUUCUUCAUAGAUGCUUCAGGUUGAGGAAAUUUUCCUUCUAUUCCUAGUUUGAGUGUUUUUAUCAGGAAAAGAUACUGGAUUUUGUCAGAUGCUUCUGCUUCUGUUGGGGCUCAGUUGGUAAAGAAUCCGUCUGCAAUGCAGGAGACCCUGGUUCAGUUCCUGGGUCAGGAAGAUCCCCUGAAGAAGGGUAGGCUACCCACUCCAGUAUUCUUGGGCUUCCGUGGUGACUCAGCUGGUAAAGAAUCCACCUGCAAUGUAGGAUCUUAAUCUGCUUCUGUUAAGAUGGUUGUGAGUUUUUGUCCUUUAUUCUCUCAGUAGGGCUAUAUUGAUGGAUUUUGGUAUAUUGUACCAACCCUCCAUUCCUGGGGUUCUGCAGGUUCAUGGUACACAAACCUUUUAAUAUGCUACUGAGUUUGGUCUGCUAGAAUUCCAUUUAGAAUAUUGCUGAAUAAAGGGCAUAUCUACCAGUGAUGAGGCUGAAAUGUGUAUUUCCCGUAGGCCACAUGUGGUCACUGUAAGAGACAGAUCAUUGGCCAUCUGACCCUGCACAAGUAGGUUUCCUGUUCUGGAGCCAGACACCCAAUAUCUGAAUACCCUCAGAUAGAAGCUGUGAGAAGAGGAGAAACUGAAAGUGACCAGCCGAGCCAGAGGCUCUCAUUUGGGAUUCCCUGAAGAGUUAACUUUGUGAAAGAAGGCCAUUCACUCCUACCUCUCUGAAGGCUCAGUAUCUUAGGACAGUUGCACCAACUGGAUAAGGUAGGAUAUUUUUCUCUAGAUUUCCUCCCUUCCAAAAGGGCCAGAAACAGCUUUUGAGUGAGAAGGAAGGUAACGUGACGAAGAGCCUAUUUCAGGCCUCCCACCCAGAAGCAGCUCUGAGCAAGAGUUGCAUUUUCAGUUAGGAGAGAGAGUGGCAUUUUUGAUGUUUCACUAAUACCCAGAAAGUAGAUGCUUUGCUUAUUAUCUGAAAGUGACCAGAAAAACUACAUACCUGAGGUUUCAUUCCUGCUUGGAAAAACAAAUCCAGAGCCAGAGCAGACCAGCAAAAAGAAAAAGUUGUGCUCAGCUGAACCAUCGCCCUUAUUCGCUUCCUUCCUGUCACACACGUGCCUUAUUAUUCAGUAAAUCUCAUUACUAAAUUAGUAGAUCUAUAGGAAGGACUUACGUACUCUUUGGAUGGUGCUACGGAAAGAUCUCCAAGGGAGAUCUCAAACCUGCUUCUAGUCCAACUGAACUGUGAAGAUUUUCUGUUUUACUAACAUUUACCAGGUAAAUAGAAUUCAAUACAAAUUGAAUGCUAAUUCAAUACCAAUUGAAAACUGAAUGCUAAGCAGUCCUGAGUGUUCACUGGAAGGACUGAUGUUGAGGCUGAAACUCCAAUACUUUGGCCACAUGAUGCGAAGAACUGGCUCAUUGGAAAAGACCCUGAUGCUGGGAAAGAUUGAGGGCAGGAGGAGAAGAGGAUGACAGAGGAUGAGAUGGUUGGAUGGCAUCACCAAAUCGAUGGACAUGAGUUUGGGUAAACUCCGGCAGUUGGUGAUAGACAGGCUCGGCGUGCUGUGGUCAAUGGGGUCGGAAAGAGUCGGACACGACUGAGCGACUGAACUGAACAUACCAAUUGAAUGCUAAUCAUGUUGCAGGUUUGCUGGAGGUUUCAGGUUGGUUUCAUAACCACUUUGUUCAAUCAAGGAGUCUUUUUAUGGGGAGACUGAAUCUAGUGAACCAGAUAUACAUAGAAACCACUAAGGGUUAUAAAAGUACAUAAAAAUACAAUUUGGACAGAGAAUUCAGAUCCAAAAAUUGUCCAAAUAGAAAGUGAAAGAUUAGUUGACAGGCAGACAAGAAGGUGUUUAGUAUGCCUGAGUGUCGGAUUCAAAGGGAUCAAGAUUGGAUUGGAAUGGAAGGCAGGUCAGAGCAUGAAAAGCCUUGUAGACCAUACCAAGAACUUUGAACUUUGUUUUGCAGAUAAUUGAAAUACAAAGAUAAUUCAUUUUACAUUUUUUUUUGUAUCUUAUAACAUGGAAUUGGAGGAAUGUAAGUGUCAUGCAAUCUUUGUACCUAGGAGAUUUUGCCAAGUCGUUCAGUCAUGUCCAACUCGUUGUGACCUCGGUCCAUGGGAUUCUCCAGGCAAGAACACUGGAGGUGGAUACUUUACUGUCUGAGCCACCAGGGAAGCCCAGUUAGGAGAUUAUUGCCAUAAUUCUAAUUAUAUCCUCAGGUUUAUAAGCCUGAGGAUAGAAGGGUGGGGAUGUUCUAAGACAUGUUUGGGACUGGGACUGGGUGACUGAUUCGAUAUUCCAGGGAGAGAGAGGAGUCAAAAAUAACCCACGUUUCUGAUUUGCAUGACUGGGUUGGUGGUGGUGGUGUGGGAUCUACAGGGAAACAGGUUUUGGAAGGAACAUUAAUACCGUUGGGUCAUGUUUCAGUUGAAGUGUCUGAGAAAUAUACAAGUGGAAUUAAAAGGCACAGAGGCAGUUAAAGAAAUACAAAUUUAAAGAAAAGCCUACAAAGAAGAUUAAAAUGUAUGGUUUUUCAGCAUAGAUGUACCCUUAGGGAAAGGUCAUAAAGGGAGGAAGAAAGAACAUGGACAGAGUCCCUGGAAAAUGUUAGCAUUUCAGAGUUAAACAAGAAAAGCAGUUCCCUUAGUUGUUCAUUUUUAUCUGUGCUUCACUAGAAACCAAGCCUGAUGAGGGCAGGAAGUUUGUCUUGCUCAUGGCUGUGCCCCUAGUACCUACAGCAGAAUGUAAACAAGGUUCAUUAAGCUGGACAACAAACCAGGGUGUCUCAGAAAAUCCUUCCCAUUCUCUUCCCUGCUAUCCUUUGCACCUUGUUGACACCCUCCCCCACUGUAAUUCUUAACACAGUUUUUAAGGGCCCACAUUGUAUGUGUGUUCAUUUACUGUCAUCUCAGGAAGAUAUAUCAGCUGAGUGAAAAUAUUUCCAAACUGUUGAGAUGUGAUAACUUGCAAAUCAAUGCUUAGCACUGCUGGGUUUGGUCCCCUUACCAGUGAAUCAAGAAGUUCACAGAAAGUGAGAUCAGAUCUGUUUCCUGAGGCAACUGAGAAGGCAGAUUUGCCCUGAAAAUAAUCGCCAAGGGCAGGAAAUAACCUCCAAUGCUUCAAGCUGAGACAGCAGGAGAAUCCCAGCUCAUCGUAACUACAAGUGUAUUCUUGGGCCUGUCAAGUGGGAAGUUCGCCCAUUACCUAAAAAUGCAUUUCAGAAUUGUCCCUGUGUGCUUGCAUCUUGUACCCAAACCCGAAGAAAAUACCAUGUGCCUUAAAUAUGUACUUUUAAUAGGAUUGAAGUAUUUUUCAAAUUUAAACUCUGGUCUCCAAAAUAAUCAUACUUCCAAAACACUUUCCACAGGGUAUUAGUCUGCUUACUUCAUUAUUGCCUAACUCAUUCCUCAAAUUCUAUUCCAUGAUAGUAGAAGUGUAUCUGUUUUCCUCAUCCUGGUGUUCAGAACGUAUUUUUCAAAUGAAUGUAUGAAUGAAAUUAUGCUUAUAAAACCAAAGAGCCUGAUUUAUCAAUUGGACUUCCAGAUCUCCACAGAAGCUACCAGUAAAAGUAGUGUAACAGCUGUUCCUGCAUGUGAAGAGCUUUUCUGGCAUUCAGAUACUCCUCACACCUUCCCACUGUUCAGUAACAGUACCACCUUACACUGCUCUUAUGAAUGGAACUAGUUUUUGAAAACAAUUGAGGGAAACCAGUUUGCCAUGUAUUCCUAAGAAGGUGUAAGAGCAUUACUGGCAGAAAGUUUCCCAGCAGCAUGUUCCCCCUAGAUACUGCUCCUGGACGCAGACCUGAAGGCUCGCGAGGGGCGCUCCGGACGCGGCGCGGCCCCCUUGCCCUUCCUCUGCGCGCGCGUCUUCGUGUCUCCGCGUGUAGGGCUGCAGGGCGAGGCGUGACCCAGGGUCCACGUUCUUACUGUUAAAUCCUGCCUUGGUUGUCACAGUUUUAUAUGAGAGUUGAAGCAUUUUCUCCGUGAGUUCCAGAGCAGUCUUGAAGUCAGGGGUAAGAGUUUUCUUGGUAAGUAUUAAGUAGAAGUUGCUGAAUGGCAGAGGGGUGGAA
Molecule: long non-coding RNA, 4362 nt
Organism: Bos taurus (domestic cattle)
Lineage: Eukaryota; Metazoa; Chordata; Mammalia; Artiodactyla; Bovidae
Source: Ensembl